This 301-nucleotide ribosomal RNA is filed under the name uncultured bacterium. Its description in RNAcentral is "partial 16S ribosomal RNA". It matches the Rfam family "Bacterial small subunit ribosomal RNA", at positions 509 to 807 of the family's 1533-position model. The record is from RNAcentral.
CAGCAGCCGCGGUAAUACGAAGGGUGCAAGCGUUAAUCGGAAUUACUGGGCGUAAAGCGUGCGUAGGCGGUUUGUUAAGUCUGCUGUGAAAUCCCCGGGCUCAACCUGGGAAUGGCAGUGGAUACUGGCAAGCUAGAGUGUGUCAGAGGAUGGUGGAAUUCCCGGUGUAGCGGUGAAAUGCGUAGAGAUCGGGAGGAACAUCAGUGGCGGAGGCGGCCAUCUGGGACAACACUGACGCUGAGGCACGAAAGCGUGGGGAGCAAACAGGAUUAGAUACCCCAGUAGUCCCUGUCUCUUAUAC